Molecule: long non-coding RNA, 256 nt
Organism: Labeo rohita (rohu)
Lineage: Eukaryota; Metazoa; Chordata; Actinopteri; Cypriniformes; Cyprinidae
Exons: 3
Source: RefSeq, a predicted model, not a curated record
CUGCGAGGGAGACACCUAAACUCCCAUAACACGUCAAAAGAUAUUUUGAUCAGCUGAAUGAUCGACAAACAGGUUUCUGCGCACAUUGCCGCCAGGACUGAAUUUACUGAGCCAGAAGAGUCUCAAGUCCCUCUCAUUCCAGUAUGACUCAUGGACAUACAAGUGACACCUUGCGGAUUGUGUGGACUGGGUUCAAGCAAACAGAAGCUCUGAACACCUGAGGCGGUGCAGGUGACCUAUCGAGGGCACGGCAGAG